UGGUGGAGUGAUUUGUCUGGUUGAUUCCGUUAACGAGCGAGAUCGCUAUAUUAGAUGUGUAUAAGUAAAGAUAUAGGAAGUGAGCGGCAAUAACA
This 95-nucleotide ribosomal RNA is filed under the name uncultured eukaryote. RNAcentral describes it as "partial 18S ribosomal RNA". It matches the Rfam family "Eukaryotic small subunit ribosomal RNA", at positions 1299 to 1458 of the family's 1831-position model. The record is from RNAcentral.